Molecule: ribosomal RNA, 393 nt
Filed under: uncultured bacterium
Lineage: Bacteria
Description: partial 16S ribosomal RNA
Rfam family: Bacterial small subunit ribosomal RNA
Source: RNAcentral
CCUACGGGCGGCAGCAGUGAGGAAUAUUGGUCAAUGGACGAGAGUCUGAACCAGCCAAGUAGCGUGAAGGAAGAAUGCCCUAUGGGUUGUAAACCUCUUUUAUCAGGGAGUAAAGUCAGCCACGUGUGCGUGUUUGCAAGUACUUGAUGAAUAAGCAUCGGCUAACUCCGUGCCAGCAGCCGCGGUAAUACGGAGGAUGCGAGCGUUAUCCGGAUUUAUUGGGUUUAAAGGGUGCGUAGGUGGGUUAUCAAGUCAGCGGUAAAAUUGUGGAGCUCAACGUCAUACUGCCGUUGAAACUGGUAGUCUUGAGUGGGGGAGAGGUAGGCGGAAUGCGUGGUGUAGCGGUGAAAUGCAUAGAGAUCACGAAGAACUCCGAUUGCGAAGGCAGCUUAC